RNAcentral lists this ribosomal RNA (396 nucleotides) under uncultured Bartonella sp. RNAcentral's name for it is "bacterial SSU rRNA". It matches the Rfam family "Bacterial small subunit ribosomal RNA", at positions 1030 to 1427 of the family's 1533-position model. The record is from RNAcentral. Lineage: Bacteria; Pseudomonadati; Pseudomonadota; Alphaproteobacteria; Hyphomicrobiales; Bartonellaceae.
GGAGACAGGUGCUGCAUGGCUGUCGUCAGCUCGUGUCGUGAGAUGUUGGGUUAAGUCCCGCAACGAGCGCAACCCUCGCCCUUAGUUGCCAGCAUUCGGUUGGGCACUCUAAGGGGACUGCCGGUGAUAAGCCGAGAGGAAGGUGGGGAUGACGUCAAGUCCUCAUGGCCCUUACGGGCUGGGCUACACACGUGCUACAAUGGUGGUGACAGUGGGCAGCGAGACCGCGAGGUCGAGCUAAUCUCCAAAAGCCAUCUCAGUUCGGAUUGCACUCUGCAACUCGAGUGCAUGAAGUUGGAAUCGCUAGUAAUCGUGGAUCAGCAUGCCACGGUGAAUACGUUCCCGGGCCUUGUACACACCGCCCGUCACACCAUGGGAGUUGGUUUUACCCGAAGG